This 468-nucleotide ribosomal RNA is filed under the name uncultured bacterium. Its description in RNAcentral is "partial 16S ribosomal RNA". It matches the Rfam family "Bacterial small subunit ribosomal RNA", at positions 28 to 507 of the family's 1533-position model. The record is from RNAcentral.
GACGAACGCUGGCGGCGUGCUUAACACAUGCAAGUCGAACGGUAAGGCCCUGCUUUUUUUGGUGGCUGGAGUGGCGAACGGAUGAGUAACACGUGAGUAGCCUGCCCUGGACUUUGGGAUAACUUCAGGAAACUGGGGCGAAGACCGGAUAGGAUCUCCUGCUUCAUUGUGGUGGUUGGAAAGUUUCGGCGGUUGGGGAUGGACUCGCGGCGUAUGAGCUUGUUGGGGGGGUAGUGGCUUACCAAGGCUUUGAAGGGUAGCCGGCCUGAGAGGGUGACCGGCCACAUUGGGACUGAGAUACGGCCCAGACUCCUACGGGAGGCAGCAGUGGGGAAUAGUGCACAAUGGGCGGAAGCCUGAUGCAGCAACGCCGCGUGCGGGAUGACGGCCUUCGGGUUGUAAACCGCUUUCGCCUGUGACGAAGCGUGAGUGACGGUAAUGGGUAAAGAAGCACCGGCUAACUACGUG